Molecule: long non-coding RNA, 834 nt
Organism: Xiphophorus maculatus (southern platyfish)
Lineage: Eukaryota; Metazoa; Chordata; Actinopteri; Cyprinodontiformes; Poeciliidae
Exons: 2
Source: RefSeq, a predicted model, not a curated record
UGUGUAGAAGUAACAUUUUAUAUGCUUUCACACAGGAUAGAGAGGUUGUGGCGUGAUCUGUGGAUGGGAGUCACAUGUGUUUUCUACAAUGUUCUACACCAACUGGAGGAGGAAAACCUCUUGGAUCUUAGCAAUCCUCUUCGCUUGUUUUGCUGUCAUUAUGUUUUCUUGCCUCGCUUGAAAGUGAAUCUUGACAUAUUUAAACAAGGAUGGGACAAUCACCCAAUGAGAACUGAACAAAACCUCACUCCAAAUCAGUUGUGGGAACUGGGACAGAUCGGCCAUUCAGUGGUUGACCCAGAGAUUCCCCAUAUAAACUGGGAGGAAAGUGGGCUUGUUCCUGAUCCACAUGCUGAAUUGCGAGUACCAGAGUUGGACAGCCCACUUACAGAAGAUCAGAUGGAGCUUCUCCGUGAAAACAUUGACCCCCUACAACCUUCAGAGUCUAGUGGCAUGGACAUUUACAUGGAUACUCUGCAAUAUUUGGAAACUUUACUUGUGACAAAUUAGAUGUCACUUAAAUUUAAAUGUUUGUAAUGAACAGCAUUUUCAAUACCAUUUAUUUAAAAAAUCCAUCAAACAUGUACAAAUAUACAAGCAAGUACAAGCUAGAGAAAGAACCAGCUGGCAAAAAUGUUAACUUUAUAAAGUUUAAUGUACACCAGAAACAUGAAAAUUAUUUUAUGUUUGAAUGCCAAACAUUUGUGGAAUAUUUCAGCAAAAAACCACAUGAUGAACAGGGAUGCCUGACAAACAUUUAGUAGUCACCUCAGGAACACAACUUCAUGUCAAGACUGUGUUGAUGGACAUUAUUUGUAAAAAAAAAAAAAAAAA